AGCCCAACGUGAAGUCACAGUCUCAGAGUGUCAGUGGCCAAGGCAUCUUAGAAAGCAUCCUGAGACUCGGGUCCAGAGGCCCGCCUGGGGUCACACAGCCCAUAGCAACUUGAUCGGGCUUGGCUUCUCGCUUCGCCCUGGGUUACAGCAGCCUCUGCUGAUGGGAACCAACCCCCUUCUAUCUUAGAGGUGCCUCGUUGACACGGAGGGAUUCUGCCAGAACAGACUUCUUCCUCUUUCACUGCAGGCUCUUGAACCCCAUGGGAUGCUGGAACCUGCCUGGCUCUUUGCUGCUUUCGAGGGUCUCAUUCGCUCCUGUUGGCUGACUCCUGCCAGUUCGGCAGAGGCCUGGCUGUUUCUGCUAGGUCACAUCGCUGCUGCUGAUUCAUGUUUGCUAUCCCGACACUACUGAACUGGGCUGCUGGUAUAUUCGUGAAGUGUCUGUGAGUGGAUCGAGCUGCCGCUGCUGAUUCCUGUGAACUGAACUGCCAAUUUCCCGACAAUGCAGACAGGAUUUGCUCCACAGAACCAUUUCUAAGCAAGCCCACUUCCCCUGUAUCCUGAUGACCUUUCUUUCCCACUACCUCUGAUGGGUGGUAGGCUAAAAGGGGAGAUUAAAGCAUUUA
Mus musculus (house mouse) is the source of this 626-nucleotide long non-coding RNA. RefSeq annotates it as predicted gene, 33830. The record is from RefSeq and is a predicted model, not a curated record. The transcript is spliced from 3 exons. NCBI's taxonomy places the organism in Eukaryota, Metazoa, Chordata, Mammalia, Rodentia, Muridae.